Molecule: ribosomal RNA, 253 nt
Filed under: uncultured bacterium
Lineage: Bacteria
Description: partial 16S ribosomal RNA
Rfam family: Bacterial small subunit ribosomal RNA
Source: RNAcentral
UACGUAGGGGGCUAUCGUUGUCCGGAAUCAUUGGGCGUAAAGAGCGUGUAGGCGGCCCGGUAAGUCCGCUGUGAAAGUCGGGGGCUCAACCCUCGAAUGCCGGUGGAUACUGUCGGGCUAGAGUGCGGAAGAGGCGAGUGGAAUUCCUGGUGUAGCGGUGAAAUGCGCAGAUAUCAGGAGGAACACCGGUGGCGAAGGCGGAUCUCUGGGCCAUUACUGACGCUGAGGAGCGAAAGCGUGGGGAGCGAACAGG